Molecule: ribosomal RNA, 350 nt
Filed under: Rhodospirillaceae bacterium TMED8
Lineage: Bacteria; Pseudomonadati; Pseudomonadota; Alphaproteobacteria; Rhodospirillales; Rhodospirillaceae
Also listed under: 1 other name
Description: bacterial LSU rRNA
Rfam family: Bacterial large subunit ribosomal RNA
Source: RNAcentral
CCAAGGGUUCGGCUGUUCGCCGAUUAAAGUGGUACGUGAGCUGGGUUUAGAACGUCGUGAGACAGUUCGGUCCCUAUCUGCCGUGGGUGUAGGAGAUUUGAGAGGAGCUGCCCCUAGUACGAGAGGACCGGGGUGGACAUACCUCUGGUGGACCAGUUGUCGCGCCAGCGGCAUAGCUGGGUAGCUAAGUAUGGACGGGAUAACCGCUGAAAGCAUCUAAGCGGGAAGCCCCCCUCAAAACAAGAUCUCCCUUGAGAGCCGUGGAAGACCACCACGUUGAUAGGCUGGAUGUGGAAGCGCAGUAAUGCGUGUAGCUGACCAGUACUAAUUGCUCGAUAGGCUUGAAUCCG